This 823-nucleotide long non-coding RNA is filed under the name Serinus canaria (Common canary). RNAcentral describes it as "lncRNA (ENSSCAG00000004425.1)". Lineage: Eukaryota; Metazoa; Chordata; Aves; Passeriformes; Fringillidae. The record is from RNAcentral.
AUGUACCCCCUUGUCCCCACCGUGUCCCUUCAGGCUGCAGUGAUGGACCUGGACCCACACAGUGAGGGGCUCUACAGCCAAGACCCCCCAAGACCACCGUGUGUCCCAGUGUGCCCCCGCCCCAGGGAAGAGGCAGUCUCAGGUGUCCCCAAGAGAGGCAGUGUCCCNNNNNNNNNNNNNNNNNNNNGCAGUGUCCCUGUGUCCUGCCCUGUUGUCCCCUCAGGUCCCCCUCGGGGGAUCCCACAGCUGGAGGUGCUGCUGAGGCAGGUGCACAGCCUGCAGAAAGUCCGUGAGGCCACAGCACAGGAGCUGGUGAAGGCACAGGACUGCAGUGAGGGGUUGAGCCAGCAGCUGGAGCAGCUGGAGCAGCACAAGGAGGCACUGGAGAGGUCCUGGCAGCAGGUGCAGGAAUCACUGCAGAGAGCACAGUGGCAAGGGAAGGAGGUGGAGGCCAAAGGUCAGAGGCGCUGUGGGCUCUGUCUGGAGCAGCAGCAGCACCUGGAAGGGACAAAGCAGCAGUGGGAGCAGCUGAAAAACCUGCGCCGGGAACACAGGAGGCAGCACUGCCAGCAGCUCGAGGCCGUCAUGAAGGAGCUCAAGCACCUGCGUGUCACACACGCUCCAGCCCACGUGAAGGCUGAACUGGUGCAGCUGGAGAAGAUGGAGGAGAAGUGGCUGAGCUGGGGUGAGCCCCUGACACCUGAGUGACCCCUCCAGGAUCCCCCUCAAGCACCUGAGUGUCCCUCCUGACACCUGAAUGACCCCUGUGACACCUCUGGGCACCUGAGGGACACCCUUGGACACCUCAGUGCCAACACCUGAG